Molecule: long non-coding RNA, 278 nt
Filed under: Elaeis guineensis (African oil palm)
Lineage: Eukaryota; Viridiplantae; Streptophyta; Magnoliopsida; Arecales; Arecaceae
Description: long non-coding RNA (EGUI_LNC014481)
Source: RNAcentral
GCAUGCUGACUUGAGGCUGGCACGCUAAAAGGAAUGAUCCCUAUGCUAGGGGGCGACCCAUAGGUCGACCCCUGCUGAGCCAUAGGCCCAUAUAGAGAGACCAUUUCUUUGUUGUCUAUAGGGGAUGAUCCCUGUGCCAGGGGAUGACCCAUGGCAUAAGGUCUCCUGAAGCACUGACAUCUAUAACAGCUAAUUUUUUAGCCUAUUUUUGACAUAUUAAAUACCCAUUAAUCAGUCUUUAAUUGCUUAAAAUGGCUAUUAGAGGUUCUCCAGUAUUG